AGUAGGUAGCUUAACCUUCGGGAGGGCGCUUACCACUUUGUGAUUCAUGACUGGGGUGAAGUCGUAACAAGGUAACCGUAGGGGAACCUGCGGUUGGAUCACCUCCUUACCAAAAAAGAUGUGUGUUGAGUGAAGUGCUCACACAGAUUGUCUGAUGAA
Molecule: ribosomal RNA, 159 nt
Filed under: Pectobacterium wasabiae
Lineage: Bacteria; Pseudomonadati; Pseudomonadota; Gammaproteobacteria; Enterobacterales; Pectobacteriaceae
Description: partial 16S ribosomal RNA
Rfam family: Bacterial small subunit ribosomal RNA (bases 1-109)
Source: RNAcentral